RNAcentral lists this ribosomal RNA (468 nucleotides) under uncultured bacterium. Its description in RNAcentral is "partial 16S ribosomal RNA". It matches the Rfam family "Bacterial small subunit ribosomal RNA", at positions 28 to 507 of the family's 1533-position model. The record is from RNAcentral.
GACGAACGCUGGCGGCGUGCUUAACACAUGCAAGUCGAACGGAAAGGCCCUGCUUUUGUGGGGUGCUCGAGUGGCGAACGGGUGAGUAACACGUGAGUAACCUGCCCUUGACUUUGGGAUAACUUCGGGAAACUGGGGCUAAUACCGGAUAGGAGCUCCUGCUGCAUGGUGGGGGUUGGAAAGUUUCGGCGGUUGGGGAUGGACUCGCGGCUUAUCAGCUUGUUGGUGGGGUAGUGGCUUACCAAGGCUUUGACGGGUAGCCGGCCUGAGAGGGUGACCGGACACAUUGGGACUGAGAUACGGCCCAGACUACUACGGGAGGCAGCAGUGGGGAAUAGUGCACAAUGGGCGGAAGCCUGAUGCAGCAACGCCGCGUGCGGGAUGACGGCCUUCGGGUUGUAAACCGCUUUCGCCUGUGACGAAGCGUGAGUGACGGUAAUGGGUAAAGAAGCACCGGCUAACUACGUG